Molecule: ribosomal RNA, 570 nt
Filed under: Gastrophryne olivacea (western narrow-mouthed toad)
Lineage: Eukaryota; Metazoa; Chordata; Amphibia; Anura; Microhylidae
Description: partial 16S ribosomal RNA
Rfam family: Bacterial large subunit ribosomal RNA
Source: RNAcentral
AAACAUCGCCUCCUGCAGUAUAUAGGAGGUCCAGCCUGCCCAGUGACCAAGUUAAACGGCCGCGGUACCCUAACCGUGCGAAGGUAGCGCAAUCACUUGUUCUUUAAAUGAGGACUAGUAUGAAUGGCAUCACGAGGGUUACACUGUCUCCCACCUCUAAUCAGUGAAACUGAUCUCCCCGUGAAGAAGCGGGGAUAAAACUAUAAGACGAGAAGACCCCAUGGAACUUCAAACCCGGCAUCAACCAUUAACAUUAAUACCACAUUAAAUAAAUGGACCUGACUGCUGGUUUUAGGUUGGGGUGACCGCGGAGCAUAACAAAACCUCCAUGAUGAACGACCUCCUCUCUAAUCCGAGAGCCACCACUCAAAGAAUCAAAAAAUUGACAUUUAUUGACCCAAACUAUUUUGAUCAACGAACCAAGUUACCCUGGGGAUAACAGCGCAAUCCAUUUCAAGAGCCCCUAUCGACAAAUGGGUUUACGACCUCGAUGUUGGAUCAGGGUAUCCUAGUGGUGCAGCCGCUACUAAAGGUUCGUUUGUUCAACGAUUAAAACCCUACGUGAUCUGA